UACGAAGGGGGCUAGCGUUGCUCGGAAUCACUGGGCGUAAAGCGCACGUAGGCGGAUUGCUAAGUCAGGGGUGAAAUCCUGGAGCUCAACUCCAGAACUGCCUUUGAUACAGCACGUCUUGAGUCCGGAAGAGGUGGGUGGAAUUCCUAGUGUAGAGGUGAAAUUCGUAGAUAUUAGGAAGAACACCGGUGGCGAAGGCGGCCCACUGGUCCGGUACUGACGCUGAGGUGCGAAAGCGUGGGGAGCAAACAGG
Molecule: ribosomal RNA, 253 nt
Filed under: uncultured bacterium
Lineage: Bacteria
Description: partial 16S ribosomal RNA
Rfam family: Bacterial small subunit ribosomal RNA
Source: RNAcentral